RNAcentral lists this ribosomal RNA (519 nucleotides) under uncultured bacterium. Its description in RNAcentral is "bacterial SSU rRNA". It matches the Rfam family "Bacterial small subunit ribosomal RNA", at positions 335 to 873 of the family's 1533-position model. The record is from RNAcentral.
CACCUACGGGAGGCAGCAGUGGGGAAUCUUGCACAAUGGAGGAAACUCUGAUGCAGCGACGCCGCGUGGACGACGAAGCCCUUCGGGGUGUAAAGUCCUUUCGACCGGAACGAUAAUGACGGUACCGGUGGAAGAAGCUGCGGCUAACUACGUGCCAGCAGCCGCGGUAAUACGUAGGCAGCAAGCGUUGUUCGGAAUUAUUGGGCGUAAAGAGCUCGUAGGCGGUUUGCCAAGUUUGGUGUGAAAUCUCCCGGCUUAACUGGGAGGGUGCGCCGAAUACUAGCAGGCUAGAGUACGGGAGAGGAAAGCGGAAUUCCUGGUGUAGCGGUGAAAUGCGUAGAUAUCAGGAGGAACACCUGCGGUGUAGACGGCUUUCUGGACCGAAACCGACGCUGAGGAGCGAAAGCGUGGGUAGCAAACAGGAUUAGAUACCCUGGUAGUCCACGCCCUAAACGAUGCAUACUUGGUGUGAGCCAUUCAAUUGGUUCGUGCCGAAGCUAACGCGUUAAGUAUGCCGCC